RNAcentral lists this long non-coding RNA (287 nucleotides) under Hordeum vulgare. RNAcentral's name for it is "long non-coding RNA (HVUL_LNC012152)". Lineage: Eukaryota; Viridiplantae; Streptophyta; Magnoliopsida; Poales; Poaceae. The record is from RNAcentral.
GCAGCAACAGCAACAACAGCAACAGCAACAGCAACAGCAAAAACAACAACAACAACAACAACAACAACAGUGGCAACAGCAGCAGCAACAACAACAACAGCAACAACAGCAACAGCUACAACAGCAACAGCAACAACAGCAACAGCAAUAGCAACAACAAGAACAACAACAACAACAACAACAACUACUACUACUAGUACUACAACAACAACAACAACAGCAACAACAACAACAACAACAACAACAACAACAACAACAACAGCAACAACAGCAACAGCAGCAGCAAC